RNAcentral lists this unclassified non-coding RNA (207 nucleotides) under soil metagenome. RNAcentral describes it as "partial contains 5.8S ribosomal RNA, internal transcribed spacer 2, and large subunit ribosomal RNA". The record is from RNAcentral.
AACCUUAUGGACCUGCGGGCGUAUACCUGCGGAAGGAUCAUUACAGAGAUUGAUGCACCAAGUGCAUCACCUCCAACCCCUUGCGAAAACAACUAUCAUGUGUUGCUUUGGCAGUGUUUCCACUGCCAGAGGUUUACAUAAAAUCAGCUGUUUGGAUGUUGUCUGAGUAAACUAUAUGAAUUAUUUAAAACUUUCAACAACGGAUCU